UUUUUUUUUAACUGGGUUAAUUAGGUUUCAUAAAAACCCUUCUAUUUUUUCACGUAUCACAAUUUUCGAUACUGCAAUAUCAUUACUAACCUGUACGCUGAGAAUUUAUGCAUAUCAUAUGCUAACUACCUCAUCAUUGUCACAACUGCACAAGCUUCAGAAAUCCCAUACAGGUUUCUUCACAAAAAUCAUCCUCCAGACAAUUUGCGGGGUGUUCAAUUUUACAGAGUUAAUAGGAAUAUUAUUUUUUAUUUUUCUUUGUUACGUUGCUUUUCUUGCAGCAUAUACUGCUGUCAGGCACCACAUGCACAACCCAUACUGUUCACUUAUUUGUGAUACAGUUGGGUCCUGCUCAACAUGAUGCUGGAAACCUUGUAAGGACUGAGGAUGUACAGGCUGCUAGCGACUGUUCUGUGCUACUAGAAACCUACUCAACCAUACAGGCAAAUUACAUCUUUAGACUUCAAACACCUGCUUCUUAGUUUUCUCCAUCUGACGGUGCAAAUGAAAUUAGCUAUGAGACACAGCAACAGCUAAAACCUGAUAGACAGGUGCAACUUCUCCCUGGGAAGAACUCAAACAAACAGAAAUUUAGUUUAGAUUGACCAGUAGUGUUGCUCACCAAAAAGCACAAAAAGUACAAGUUGAUUCUCAGUAAAUUACUGGGGCAUUAGAUUACAGAUCACAAGACUAAGCUUUCUCCAUUUUUAUAGUGUUUUGAAGUGGUUUCUUUAAAUGAAAGUGAAAUUAUCAUUCAAUGCAGGAUUUUAGUGAAAAAAUACAAGACUCAGAAUAAAGUUGUGACAGUGACAGUAACAACGGACACUGUUUAUCUCAAGACACCGCUAAGGCUACAAGAGCUGUGGACUGAAAUGGCACAGAAAGGAUAAACAUGACCCUGCAGCAGAGACCUGCCUGUUAGAUACCCUACAAGACAGUAGUUACAUACAAUAGAAACACACACUUGUAGAGUUUAAUUUGCCUUUCUCAAAGACUAUUACUGCAC
RNAcentral lists this long non-coding RNA (1006 nucleotides) under Strigops habroptila (Kakapo). RNAcentral describes it as "lncRNA (ENSSHBG00005012098.1)". The record is from RNAcentral. Lineage: Eukaryota; Metazoa; Chordata; Aves; Psittaciformes; Psittacidae.